RNAcentral lists this long non-coding RNA (293 nucleotides) under Mytilus galloprovincialis (Mediterranean mussel). Lineage: Eukaryota; Metazoa; Mollusca; Bivalvia; Mytilida; Mytilidae. The record is from RNAcentral.
GCUCGUUCUGUGGUUUGACAAUAGAAUCCGUGGUGACUCUGGCUUUACACGAUUUUAUGGUACAUUUGUAGGAUAUGUUGUUAUGUUUCAGGACACUAACCUUUCAAUAUGUAUGGCCCUCUUUGGCUCGUUUCAGUGUGCAAUAUGUCCAUCGUGUUGCAACGAAGUUCCAGAACAAUAUGAAUCAAAAUUAACAUAAAUGAACAGAUGUUACCAAUGGUAUUAUAUAGUAUAGUACAUGUACAAGUAUUAACGUACCUGUAAAUCUAAUUAGGAGCAAAUAUAAAAUCGGC